RNAcentral lists this unclassified non-coding RNA (257 nucleotides) under rhizosphere metagenome. Its description in RNAcentral is "partial ribosomal RNA internal transcribed spacer region". The record is from RNAcentral.
GUAGGUGAACCUGCGGAAGGAUCAUUACCGAGUUAGGGUUCGUCCAACGAGCCCGAUCUCCCAACCCUUUGUCUAUCUUACCUUGUCGUUGCUUCGGCGGACCGGUCGCGACCAACUGGUCGUGGCCGCCGGGGGCCCGUCCCUUGGAGAGUGUCCGCCGACGGCUCAACCACAAACUCUUGUACCAAACCAUGUCGUCUGAAUUACUUGAUUAAAAUCAAAAAACAAAACUUUCAACAACGGAUCUCUUGGUUCUG